Molecule: ribosomal RNA, 468 nt
Filed under: uncultured bacterium
Lineage: Bacteria
Description: partial 16S ribosomal RNA
Rfam family: Bacterial small subunit ribosomal RNA
Source: RNAcentral
GACGAACGCUGGCGGCGUGCUUAACACAUGCAAGUCGAACGGAAAGGCCCUGCCUUUGUGGGGUGCUCGAGUGGCGAACGGGUGAGUAACACGUGAGUAACCUGCCCUGGACUUUGGGAUAACUUCAGGAAACUGGGGCUAAUACCGGAUAGGAGCUCCUGCUGCAUGGUGGGGGGUGGAGAGUUUUGGCGGUUGGGGAUGGACUCGCGGUUUAUCAGCUUGUGGGUGGGGUAGUGGUUUACCAAGGCUUUGAGGGGGAGCCGGCCUGAGAGGGUGAGCGGACACAUUGGGACUGAGAUACGGCCCAGACUCCUACGGGGGGCAGCAGUGGGGAAUAGUGCACAAUGGGCGGAAGCCUGAUGCAGCAACGCCGCGUGCGGGAUGACGGCCUGCGGGUUGUAAACCGCUUUCGCCUGUGACGAAGCGUGAGUGACGGUAAUGGGUAAAGAAGCACCGGCUAACUACGUG